CCCUUAGACGUUCUGGGCCGCACGCGCGCUACACUGACCAGUGCAACAAGCAUCCGUCCUUGGCCGACAGGCCCGGGCAAUCUUUGAACGCUGGUCGUGAUGGGGAUAGACUUUUGCAAUUUUUGGUCUUCAACGAGGAAUUCCUAGUAAACGCAAGUCAUCAACUUGCAUUGAUUACGUCCCUGCCCUUUGUACACACCGCCCGUCGCACCUACCGAUUGAAUGGUCCGGUGAAGCCUCCGGAUUGGCGCGCACCUCGGUGCCGCCGGGAAGUUGGCUAAACCUUACCAUUUAGAGGAAGGUGAAGUCGUAACA
RNAcentral lists this ribosomal RNA (315 nucleotides) under uncultured eukaryote. RNAcentral describes it as "partial 18S ribosomal RNA". It matches the Rfam family "Eukaryotic small subunit ribosomal RNA", at positions 1470 to 1796 of the family's 1831-position model. The record is from RNAcentral.